AUUGAACGCUGGCGACAUGCCUUACACAUGCAAGUCGAACGGCAGCACGGGAGCAAUCCUGGUGGCGAGUGGCGAACGGGUGAGUAAUAUAUCGGAACGUGCCCAGUCGUGGGGGAUAACGUAGCGAAAGCUACGCUAAUACCGCAUACGAUCUAUGGAUGAAAGCGGGGGAUCGCAAGACCUCGCGCGAUUGGAGCGGCCGAUAUCAGAUUAGGUAGUUGGUGAGGUAAAGGCUCACCAAGCCGACGAUCUGUAGCUGGUCUGAGAGGACGACCAGCCACACUGGGACUGAGACACGGCCCAGACUCCUACGGGAGGCAGCAGUGGGGAAUUUUGGACAAUGGGCGCAAGCCUGAUCCAGCAAUGCCGCGUGCAGGAUGAAGGCCUUCGGGUUGUAAACUGCUUUUGUACGGAACGAAACGGCGAGCUCUAAUACAGUUUGCUAAUGACGGUACCGUAAGAAUAAGCACCGGCUAACUACGUGCCAGCAGCAGCCGCGG
Molecule: ribosomal RNA, 500 nt
Filed under: uncultured bacterium
Lineage: Bacteria
Description: partial 16S ribosomal RNA
Rfam family: Bacterial small subunit ribosomal RNA
Source: RNAcentral